Molecule: transfer RNA, 82 nt
Filed under: Pelodiscus sinensis (Chinese soft-shelled turtle)
Lineage: Eukaryota; Metazoa; Chordata; Testudines; Trionychidae
Rfam family: tRNA
About the family: Transfer RNA (tRNA) molecules are approximately 80 nucleotides in length. Their secondary structure includes four short double-helical elements and three loops (D, anti-codon, and T loops). Further hydrogen bonds mediate the characteristic L-shaped molecular structure. tRNAs have two regions of fundamental functional importance: the anti-codon, which is responsible for specific mRNA codon recognition, and the 3' end, to which the tRNAs corresponding amino acid is attached (by aminoacyl-tRNA synthetases). tRNAs cope with the degeneracy of the genetic code in two manners: having more than one tRNA (with a specific anti-codon) for a particular amino acid; and 'wobble' base-pairing, i.e. permitting non-standard base-pairing at the 3rd anti-codon position.
Source: Rfam by way of RNAcentral
GCUGAGGUGGCUGAAUGGUUAAGGCAAUGGACUGCUAGUCCAUUGUGCUCUGCACUCAUGGGUUUAAAUCCUGUCCUCAUCU